Molecule: transfer RNA, 64 nt
Filed under: Trichinella nativa
Lineage: Eukaryota; Metazoa; Nematoda; Enoplea; Trichinellida; Trichinellidae
Description: tRNA-Lys
Source: RNAcentral
AACCAAAACACACACACACAACACCCAAGCUCUUCACAUAUAAUAUACGAAACAACAACCACCA